AUACAUACAUACACACACAGACACAUACACUGACAGACAUACUGACUGACACACACAUACACACACAGACAUACUUACAUACACACACAGACAUACUGACACACAAAGACAUGCUGACACACACACACAGACAUACUGACAUACACACAGACAGGCGUACUGGCACAUACACACAGACAGACAUUAAAACAUUCACAGAUACAUACUGACACACACAUACACUGACACACAAAUAUAUCCUGGCAGACAUACUGACACACACGUACACACACACACACAGAGACAUACCUACAUACACACACACAGACAUACUGGCAUACACACAGACAUACUGACACACACACACACACUGACAUACACACACAGACAUACUGGCAUACAAACAGACAUACUGACACACACACACCCACACACACACACUGACAUACACACACAGACAUACUGGCAUACACACAGACAUACUGACACACACACACACACACAGACAUACUGGCAUACACACACAGACAUACUGGCAUACACACAGACAUACUGACACACACACACACAGACAUACUGGCAUACACACAGACAUACUGACACACACACAAACACACAGACACACUGACACACACACACAGACAUACUGGCAUACACACAGACAUACACACACACACAGACCUACUGAC
Pelobates cultripes (western spadefoot toad) is the source of this 668-nucleotide non-coding RNA. The record is from the annotation of a GenBank genome assembly. Lineage: Eukaryota; Metazoa; Chordata; Amphibia; Anura; Pelobatidae.